AAUCAACGCUGGCGGCGUGCCUCAGACAUGCAAGUCGAACGAUUAAAGCUCUCUUCGGAGAGUGCAUAGAGUGGCGCACGGGUGAGUAACACGUAAGUAAUCUACCUUCGAGUGGGGAAUAACGUCCGGAAACGGACGCUAAUACCGCAUAAUGCAGCGGCAUCGCAAGAUGACAGUUGUUAAAGGAGCAAUUCGCUUGAAGAGGAGCUUGCGGCAGAUUAGCUUGUUGGUAAGGUAACGGCUUACCAAGGCUACGAUCUGUAACCGGUCUAAGAGGACGGUCGGUCACACUGACACUGAAUAAC
RNAcentral lists this ribosomal RNA (305 nucleotides) under uncultured bacterium. RNAcentral describes it as "bacterial SSU rRNA". It matches the Rfam family "Bacterial small subunit ribosomal RNA", at positions 32 to 327 of the family's 1533-position model. The record is from RNAcentral.